GACGAACGCUGGCGGCGUGCUUAACACAUGCAAGUCGAACGGUGAAGCGCCUUCCUUUUUGGUGGGUGUGGAUGAGUGGCGAACGGGUGAGUAACACGUGAGUAACCUGCCCCCUUCUUCUGGAUAACCGCAUGAAAGUGUGGCUAAUACGGGAUAUUCUGGGUCUGUCGCAUGAUGGGUCUGGGAAAGAUAUUGUUUCGGUGGGGGAUGGGCUCGCGGCCUAUCAGCUUGUUGGUGGGGUGAUGGCCUACCAAGGCGGUGACGGGUAGCCGGCCUGAGAGGGUGGACGGUCACACUGGGACUGAGACACGGCCCAGACUCCUACGGGAGGCAGCAGUGGGGAAUAUUGCACAAUGGGCGCAAGCCUGAUGCAGCGACGCCGCGUGAGGGAUGGAGGCCUUCGGGUUGUGAACCUCUUUCGCCAGUGAAGCAGGCCUGCCUCGUUUGUGGGUGGGUUGACGGUAGCUGGAUAAGAAGCGCCGGCUAACUACGUC
RNAcentral lists this ribosomal RNA (494 nucleotides) under uncultured bacterium. Its description in RNAcentral is "partial 16S ribosomal RNA". It matches the Rfam family "Bacterial small subunit ribosomal RNA", at positions 28 to 507 of the family's 1533-position model. The record is from RNAcentral.